GCUCCCAUGGCAUAGUGGUCACUGCACUCGCCUUGCACGCGGGAGACCCGGGUUCGAUUCCCGGUGGGGUCA
RNAcentral lists this transfer RNA (72 nucleotides) under Diaphorina citri (Asian citrus psyllid). Its description in RNAcentral is "tRNA-Ala". It matches the Rfam family "tRNA". Rfam says of the family: Transfer RNA (tRNA) molecules are approximately 80 nucleotides in length. Their secondary structure includes four short double-helical elements and three loops (D, anti-codon, and T loops). Further hydrogen bonds mediate the characteristic L-shaped molecular structure. tRNAs have two regions of fundamental functional importance: the anti-codon, which is responsible for specific mRNA codon recognition, and the 3' end, to which the tRNAs corresponding amino acid is attached (by aminoacyl-tRNA synthetases). tRNAs cope with the degeneracy of the genetic code in two manners: having more than one tRNA (with a specific anti-codon) for a particular amino acid; and 'wobble' base-pairing, i.e. permitting non-standard base-pairing at the 3rd anti-codon position. Lineage: Eukaryota; Metazoa; Arthropoda; Insecta; Hemiptera; Psyllidae. The record is from Rfam by way of RNAcentral.